This 86-nucleotide small nucleolar RNA is filed under the name Drosophila melanogaster (fruit fly). RNAcentral's name for it is "partial small nucleolar RNA snoR72". Lineage: Eukaryota; Metazoa; Arthropoda; Insecta; Diptera; Drosophilidae. The record is from RNAcentral.
AAAACUGUUGUUGCACUGGUGCGGCCGUGAAGGCAACGUUGUGUGGCAUCCAUGCCCACAACGCCCCACCGGCAACUUCAGACAAU